RNAcentral lists this ribosomal RNA (273 nucleotides) under uncultured bacterium. RNAcentral's name for it is "partial 16S ribosomal RNA". It matches the Rfam family "Bacterial small subunit ribosomal RNA", at positions 524 to 796 of the family's 1533-position model. The record is from RNAcentral.
UACGAAUGGAGCGAGCGUUGUUCGGAAUCACUGGGCGUAAAGCGUGCGCAGGCGGUCAUGAAAGUUAGAAGUGAAAUCCCAGGGCUUAACCUUGGAAUUGCUUUUAAAACUCCAUGACUGGAGUACUGGAGAGGUUGGCGGAAUUCCGAGUGUAGAGGUGAAAUUCGCAGAUAUUCGGAGGAACACCAAUGGCGUAGGCAGCCAACUGGACAGUAACUGACGCUCAUGCACGAAAGCGUGGGGAUCAAACAGGAUUAGAUACCCCUGUAGUCC